GACGAAGGGGGCCAGCGUUGUUCGGAAUUACUGGGCGUAAAGGGCGCGUAGGCGGUUCUUUAAGUCAGGCGUGAAAGCCCUGGGCUCAACCUGGGAGUGGCGCUUGAUACUGAGGAACUAGAGAGUGGGAGAGGUUGGUGGAAUUCCCAGUGUAGAGGUGAAAUUCGUAGAUAUUGGGAAGAACACCGGUGGCGAAGGCGGCCAUCUGGCCCAUUUUUGACGCUGAGGCGCGAAAGCGUGGGGAGCAAACGGG
Molecule: ribosomal RNA, 253 nt
Filed under: uncultured bacterium
Lineage: Bacteria
Description: partial 16S ribosomal RNA
Rfam family: Bacterial small subunit ribosomal RNA
Source: RNAcentral